AGAGAGAGAGAGAGAGAGAGAGAGAGAGAGAGAGAGAGAGAGAGAGAGAGAGAGAGAGAGAGAGAGAGAGAGAGAAUAAAUACACUGGGGAAAACAAGCGACACCUGGAGGGGGUGGAGACAGUCACAAGGACAGGUGAAACAGAUCAGGGUGUGACAGUCUGUGCAUAGCACACCAUCUGGAGACGAGGCAUAGAAAAAGCUAGACGGAGUAUACAUCACCAGGCGAUGGCUCCAUCUGCUGGACGUGCCAGGUCUCGACGGGCUCUCCGGCCAGGACUAAUUGGGGCUGAUUGGGAGUUGGAUACAGCAAGACCUGGAGCCAAGAAGACGGUAUCCCGGAGAGGGUCUCAUGGGGAAGACCUUUUCUUUUGAACUAUUAUUUUAAUAAACACCUUUGAAACUGAGCUAAUCCUACUCUGUCCGUGUCUGAUCUUUGUCAAUGUUUUGACCCAACCCCCUGGUCUGCCACACCAAGUAGACUAAAAUAGGGGGGCACCGGUACCUAGUCAGUGUACAGGUUAGUUGAGGUCAUUUGUACAUGUAGGUGGGGGUGAUGUGAAUAUGC
RNAcentral lists this long non-coding RNA (567 nucleotides) under Salmo salar (Atlantic salmon). Its description in RNAcentral is "lncRNA (ENSSSAG00000100769.1, ENSSSAG00075066674.1)". Lineage: Eukaryota; Metazoa; Chordata; Actinopteri; Salmoniformes; Salmonidae. The record is from RNAcentral.